Molecule: long non-coding RNA, 1020 nt
Organism: Acanthopagrus latus (yellowfin seabream)
Lineage: Eukaryota; Metazoa; Chordata; Actinopteri; Spariformes; Sparidae
Exons: 6
Source: RefSeq, a predicted model, not a curated record
CCUCAGAUCCUUGGCACCGCCGCAGUGAUGAAUCCGCUAGGAUGUGGCAUGACUGAUCACCCAACUGUCACACUGUUGAGCCCAAUGCAGACUGACAAGCCAUCUGACUGCUGCUGACACACACGUGCACACUUGCAUGUCGACUCUCACACAGAAAGCGGGAUAAAGCCGAACCUGCUGCAGUUUGAAACCUGUUCACUCGUUGAUAACAGGAAAGUAUUUAGGUUGUAACCGUUAAAUGCUCCAAGCGAUAAAAUGCAAAACGACUUCUUUUUGGUGUCCAUGUUGCUCCCAGAUUGCAACUUGACACACAUGAACACAUAGAUGUUCCCAAACUUGGGCAGUAGGACCAUCUGAGGAGCACGUGAAUGCGGCAGUAUUCCACACGUUUUCCAGUGUGUGAAGGUUGUGGCAGCUCGCUCUCGAAACGUGUACACAUGGUCUGAGGAACACACACUCAUGAAGCAAGCGAGCGCUGAAGUUGUCAGGACUGCUCGUCUCGUCUCCAGAAGCGUCUCGUCACUGAGUCACAGUUAUCCCAACAGAUUGAUUAUACAGCAGGAUGCAUUAAUCCACACUCCUGGAAGAAGCGCUCAGCAGUGAAAGGAGCACGAGAGCAUGUUCGCAAAAUAGUUCAUCAUCGUCUCCCGUUCUUUUGUCUCGACCCCGAUCCCCCACCACGAUCAACAUCUAUUCAUCACCUGAGCACGUUUCACCAGGAAUCAGUAUUCUGAAGCUGUAGCCCACGAAGACCACAUAUCAACAUAAUGCCCGUGAGUAAUUUUUUUCCAGGCAUGGAGGCUUACAUACUGUACAUCCACACAAGCAGCUCACAGCCAGAAACAGUGUGCAUAAUUCAGGGGCAUUAGUUUGGGGCUUUUCUCACUGAUUGAUUGUUUGCUGUUGCCGUGUGAUGGUUAUUACACCCAGGAGAUGUGCGUAAUGUGGAGAGGCAGCUGACAUAUUUGCAGGACAGAGGGAUGUUUGUCUAAUGAAACUCUCUGGUGAUUUGCUGCCGGC